RNAcentral lists this ribosomal RNA (563 nucleotides) under uncultured bacterium. RNAcentral describes it as "bacterial SSU rRNA". It matches the Rfam family "Bacterial small subunit ribosomal RNA", at positions 338 to 916 of the family's 1533-position model. The record is from RNAcentral.
CCUACGGGAGGCAGCAGUAGGGAAUUUUCCGCAAUGGGCGAAGGCCUGACGGAGCAAUACCGCGUGAGGGAUGACGGCCUGUGGGUUGUAAACCUCUUUUCUCAAGGAAGAAGUCUGACGGUACUUGAGGAAUAAGCAUCGGCUAACUCUGUGCCAGCAGCCGCGGUAAUACAGAGGAUGCAAGCGUUAUCCGGAAUCACUGGGCAUAAAGCGUCUGUAGGUUGUUUAGUAAGUCUGCUGUUAAAGACUGGGGCUUAACCCCAGAAAAGCAGUGGAAACUGCUAGACUCGAGUGUGGUAGAGGUAGAGGGAAUUCCUAGUGUAGCGGUGAAAUGCGUAGAUAUUAGGAAGAACACCAAUGGCGAAGGCACUCUACUGGGCCAUAACUGACACUGAGAGACGACAGCUAGGGGAGCAAACGGGAUUAGAUACCCCGGUAGUCCUAGCCGUAAACGAUGGAUACUAGAUGUUGCACGUAUUAACCCGUGCAGUAUCGUAGCUAAGGCGUUAAGUAUCCCGCCUGGGAAGUACGCUCGCAAGAGUGAGACUCAAAUGAAUUGACGG